Hipposideros armiger (great roundleaf bat) is the source of this 378-nucleotide long non-coding RNA. RefSeq lists it as uncharacterized. The record is from RefSeq and is a predicted model, not a curated record. The transcript is spliced from 2 exons. Lineage: Eukaryota; Metazoa; Chordata; Mammalia; Chiroptera; Hipposideridae.
GAGCAUUUUACGACAGCUCUGGAGGGCUAUUUACGGCAGUAGGAGGGGCGAGAAGAAAGAGAAAAAGAAUGCGAGCGAGAGCAACUUUCAAAAAUGGCUCAACCGAGACCCAAAGAGGUUAAAUAACUGGCCAAAGUCACGCAAGAAGAAAGUGAAAGUUCAAGAUUUGAAUCCAGAUCUUUAACUCAAAAGCAUAUACCAUUUGCCGAAGGGAGGCUUCUGAGGUAUUGGUAAUGUUUUGUAUUUUGAUCUAAGUAGUGGUUACUUUUUAUUUUUUGCAAUUUUUACCUUCUUAAAAUUUAAUCGAGCUGCGUGCUUAAGCUUUGUGAACUUUACAGCAUAUAUGUUAUAUUUCAAUAAAGUUUUUAUGUAUCUGAA